This 339-nucleotide ribosomal RNA is filed under the name Triticum aestivum (bread wheat). Its description in RNAcentral is "partial small subunit ribosomal RNA". Lineage: Eukaryota; Viridiplantae; Streptophyta; Magnoliopsida; Poales; Poaceae. The record is from RNAcentral.
AUGGUGAAAAGGAACUUCAACAUGACAUCCGGUGAUAGACUUGUGAAGCUUCUUAACAAGAGUGAUGAACAUGAUCUUUGCACCAUCUACAAGGAGGGGAACAGGGCUCCAAUCACCCAUGUUGUCAAGUUGCUCAUUACCUACAGCGACGAGGACGUGGUUAUGAUAAAUAGGACUUGGGCACUCAUUGCGUUGGCAUCAGUUUUGUGCCCAGGCACUGGCAAUAUGGUGAAUCUCGAGUAUCUAGCUUCCUUGGAAGACAUGUCUUGGCACGAGCGAUGGAGGAGGUUGCAAUCUUUCAAGAGAAGAAGAGGAUGCAAGCAAAUACAGAAAACGUAG